This is a non-coding RNA of Agelaius phoeniceus (red-winged blackbird), 271 nucleotides long. The record is from RefSeq and is a predicted model, not a curated record. NCBI's taxonomy places the organism in Eukaryota, Metazoa, Chordata, Aves, Passeriformes, Icteridae.
CAUGCAGGCCUACUGGAAAGAAAAGCACAGUGACAGAAAAGAGCUUCUGCCAUCAUUUGUUACCUCAAUGGAUAGUAUGCCUCUCCUCUUUACCUCUCUAAAACCAGUGAGAACUUGUUUUGGAAGCAAGCCUACGGCAAAUACCAGACUCCAGAGACCUCAGCUGAAUCCUGGAACUUGGGCAAUGGCAGAAGUUUCCACCAAGAGCUUCCUGAAAGCACAGUGAUGCUCCAUCCCUACACAGGGACAGGAAGAGGGCAGGACAAGAGAC